UGGGGAAUUUUGGACAAUGGGGCAACCCGUGAUCCAGCCAUCCCGCGUGUGCGAUGAAGGCCUUCGGGUUGUAAAGCACUUUUGGCAGGGAAGAAACAGCCUGGGAUAAUACCCCGGGCGGACUGACGGUACCUGCAGAAUAAGCACCGGCUAACUAACGUGCCAGCAGCCGCGGUAAUACGUAGGGUGCAAGCGUUAAUCGGAAUUACUGGGCGUAAAGCGUGCGCAGGCAGGUUCGGAAAGAAAGGUGUGAAAUCCCAGGGCUUAACUUGGAACUGCACUUUUAACUACCGAGCUAGAGUACGUCAGAGGGGGGUAGAAUUCCACGUGUAGCAGUGAAAUGCGUAGAGAUGUGGAGGAAUA
Molecule: ribosomal RNA, 363 nt
Filed under: uncultured bacterium
Lineage: Bacteria
Description: partial 16S ribosomal RNA
Rfam family: Bacterial small subunit ribosomal RNA
Source: RNAcentral